UACGUAGGGGGCGAGCGUUGUCCGGAAUCAUUGGGCGUAAAGCGCGUGUAGGCGGUUCAGUAAGUCUGCUGUGAAAGUCCAGGGCUCAACCCUGGGAUGCCGGUGGAUACUGCUGAACUAGAGUGCGGAAGAGGCGAGUGGAAUUCCCGGUGUAGCGGUGAAAUGCGCAGAUAUCGGGAGGAACACCAAUUGCGAAGGCAGCUCGCUGGGACGUUACUGACGCUGAGACGCGAAAGCGUGGGGAGCGAACAGG
This 253-nucleotide ribosomal RNA is filed under the name uncultured bacterium. RNAcentral describes it as "partial 16S ribosomal RNA". It matches the Rfam family "Bacterial small subunit ribosomal RNA", at positions 524 to 776 of the family's 1533-position model. The record is from RNAcentral.